Molecule: ribosomal RNA, 201 nt
Filed under: uncultured bacterium
Lineage: Bacteria
Description: partial 16S ribosomal RNA
Rfam family: Bacterial small subunit ribosomal RNA
Source: RNAcentral
GACGAACGCUGGCGGCGUGCUUAACACAUGCAAGUCGAGCGGUAAGGCCCUUUCGGGGGUACGACGAGCGGCGAACGGGUGAGUAACACGUGGGUGACCUCGCCCUCCAGCUCUGGGAGUAAGCCUGGGAAACGUGGGUCUAAUACUGGAUAUGACUCCACGGUGCAUGUCGUGGGGUGGAAAGCCUUGUGCGGCUGAGGA